GACGAACGCUGGCGGCGUGCUUAACACAUGCAAGUCGAACGGAAAGGCCUGCUAUCCCUUGUGGAUUGCGGGUACUCGAGUGGCGAACGGGUGCGUAACACGUGAGUGUUCUGCCCUCAACUUGGUUCUAAGCCUGGGAACCUGGGUCUAAUUCCCGUUAGGACUGCAGGGUGGUGCCUUUGGUGGCAAACGAUCUUCUAGUGGUUGGUGAUGAGCUGCCGGCCUAUCAGCUUGUUGGUGGGGUAAUGGCCGACCAAGGCGGAGACGGGUAGCCGGCGUGAGAGGGUGGACGGCGACAUUGAGACAGGGUUACGGCCCAGACGCCAGGGGGAGGCAGCAGUGGGGAAGAUAGCACAAUGGGCGGAAGCCUGAUGCAGCGACGCCGCGUGGGGGAUGACGGCCUUCGGGUUGUAAACUCCUUUCGACCGCGAGGAAGCCACCUGGUUGGAAGGGUGGUGACGGUAGUGGUAGAAGAAGCACCGGCUAACUACGUG
RNAcentral lists this ribosomal RNA (494 nucleotides) under uncultured bacterium. RNAcentral describes it as "partial 16S ribosomal RNA". It matches the Rfam family "Bacterial small subunit ribosomal RNA", at positions 28 to 507 of the family's 1533-position model. The record is from RNAcentral.